This 411-nucleotide small RNA is filed under the name Aspergillus sp. 4 MS-2015. Its description in RNAcentral is "eukaryotic LSU rRNA". The stretch from base 98 to 251 matches the Rfam family "5.8S ribosomal RNA". The record is from RNAcentral. Lineage: Eukaryota; Fungi; Ascomycota; Eurotiomycetes; Eurotiales; Aspergillaceae.
UACCCUGUUGCUUCGGCGUGGCCACGGCCCGCCGAAGACUAACAUUUGAACACUGUCUGAAGUUUGCAGUCUGAGUUUUUAGUUAAACAAUAAUUAAAACUUUCAACAACGGAUCUCUUGGUUCCGGCAUCGAUGAAGAACGCAGCGAAAUGCGAUAAUUAAUGUGAAUUGCAGAAUUCAGUGAAUCAUCGAGUCUUUGAACGCACAUUGCGCCCCCUGGUAUUCCGGGGGGCAUGCCUGUCCGAGCGUCAUUGCUGCCCUCAAGCACGGCUUGUGUGUUGGGCUUCCGUCCCUGGUAACGGGGACGGGCCCAAAAGGCAGUGGCGGCACCAUGUCUGGUCCUCGAGCGUAUGGGGCUUUGUCACCCGCUCCCGUAGGUCCAGCUGGCAGCUAGCCUCGCAACCAAUCUUU